GACGUAGGGCGCGAGCGUUGUCCGGAUUUAUUGGGCGUAAAGAGCGUGUAGGCGGCCAGACAGGUCCGUUGUGAAAACUCGAGGCUCAACCUCGAGAUGUCGGCGGAAACCGUCUGGCUAGAGUCCGGAAGAGGAGAGUGGAAUUCCUGGUGUAGCGGUGAAAUGCGCAGAUAUCAGGAAGAACACCUAUGGCGAAGGCAGCUCUCUGGGACGGUACUGACGCUGAGACGCGAAAGCGUGGGGAGCGAACAGG
RNAcentral lists this ribosomal RNA (253 nucleotides) under uncultured bacterium. RNAcentral's name for it is "partial 16S ribosomal RNA". It matches the Rfam family "Bacterial small subunit ribosomal RNA", at positions 524 to 776 of the family's 1533-position model. The record is from RNAcentral.